CAAACCAGAAAUUGGAUAAUUGGAUACGAACUGAAGGCAAGUUCAGGACAGUUUCUUCACUGUGAGGGAGUCAGAAGAACAGUGCAGUAAAUAUGUGCAGGAUUUUAUUACCCAUUUAUUUUCAGUAUUGCUCCUUGGUUAUAAGGUGCCUUUAGGAAUGCGCAAGAUGACUAAGGGCCUGGAAAUUUAAUGCAAAGUGGACUUAGUUUGUGAAAAAAUACCCCCCAAAGGUAUUGUUCUUUAGCAGGCAUUGAAGGAUUCAAGGGGUGACGGCUAAUUUCAUCAAAACAUUUCCAUGGAUGGCAGAUUCGAAGAAGAGCAACAAGAUAGAAGAAAUUAAAUCCAAUUGUUCAUUUCAAACAAUUUUCAAAGCCUGACUAAAGAGAGCUGGAGUCUAUUCCAGUGGCAUUCAUUAUAAGGCAGAAACCAAGUUCAAAUGGGAUGCAAAUGCAGCUUCAUAUUCUCACUCCACACUAAAUGCAGGUUAGCAAAAUUGAACCUUUGUGAAAAGGUGUAUGCAUCACUGUGCUCUUCUCUGCAAUGGACUGAUGUUCCUGCCCUACAUUCAAUGUUACUAGGAUGCGCUCUGCAUUUUAAUAAGCACAAAAUGGACAAGUAAGAGGAUGAGCAAUUAUAAGGUUACAUGACAGUGCUCUAGGAUUGACCAGCACCCUUUCUUGCACCUGCUGCCGACCAGAUGUUUGUUUACUACGUCUUUCUAUACUAUGACACUAUGGAUUGCUCUCUGCAGAUUUAUUCAGUUUUUCUUCUGUUAUUUUUGUAUGUGUGUGACUGGUGGAUGACGUCACUGGGUAUAUAUUUGAAAAUAUGUAUCAUGUGUCAUUGAGCAAGGCAAACUUUUUUUUAAAUAAAUACAUGAACAGAA
Long non-coding RNA from Polypterus senegalus (gray bichir), 886 nucleotides. RefSeq lists it as uncharacterized. NCBI's taxonomy places the organism in Eukaryota, Metazoa, Chordata, Cladistia, Polypteriformes, Polypteridae. The transcript is spliced from 3 exons. The record is from RefSeq and is a predicted model, not a curated record.